This 253-nucleotide ribosomal RNA is filed under the name uncultured bacterium. Its description in RNAcentral is "partial 16S ribosomal RNA". It matches the Rfam family "Bacterial small subunit ribosomal RNA", at positions 524 to 776 of the family's 1533-position model. The record is from RNAcentral.
UACGUAGGUGGCAAGCGUUACUCGGAAUCACUAGGCGUAAAGCGCGGGUAGGCGGUUGGGUAAGUCUGUUGUGAAAGCUCCUGGCUUAACUGGGAGAGGUCAACGGAAACUACCCGGCUAGAGUGUGGUAGAGGAAACUGGAAUUCCUGGUGUAGCGGUGAAAUGCGUAGAUAUCAGGAGGAACACCUAUGGCGAAAGCAGGUUUCUGGACCAUCACUGACGCUGAGCUGCGAAAGCUAGGGGAGCAAACAGG